AACCACUACAGCUUAAUAUAGCUAUGGUGUAUAUAGCCUGUCCCUGCAGACUUUUCAAUAUAAAAAAACGCCUUUUCAGAGAAAGGCAGUGUUUACAUUGCUGCCUAGUAACACCUCUAGAGGCUGUCACUCAGAUGGCCACUAAAGCACAAUGUGCAGCACCUACAUACAGCGUCUCCACAAGUGCAGCACCUACAUUCAGCGUCUCCACACCCUGCAUGGAGGCACUGCACGUUCCUCAUAGAGAUGCUCUUAAUUGAUUUAAUGCAUCUCUAUGAGGAAAUGCUGACGGCAGUUGAUUAUCAGGCGGGCCAGCUCUGGCG
Non-coding RNA from Pelobates cultripes (western spadefoot toad), 323 nucleotides. Lineage: Eukaryota; Metazoa; Chordata; Amphibia; Anura; Pelobatidae. The record is from the annotation of a GenBank genome assembly.